Schistocerca gregaria is the source of this 559-nucleotide long non-coding RNA. RefSeq lists it as uncharacterized. The record is from RefSeq and is a predicted model, not a curated record. The transcript is spliced from 3 exons. Lineage: Eukaryota; Metazoa; Arthropoda; Insecta; Orthoptera; Acrididae.
CUGCGAUUCUCCGAUAUCGGUGAUUUCUGUGAAUGCUACUUUUCAGUAUCUGCUAUUCUUAACUGUGAUUUGUCGCAGUUAAGGAACGUAGGUCGUGUAUCCCUCCGCCACUGCUAUUUCUGCGACUUCUGCGAUUUCUGUGACUCCUGCGAUUUCUGCGACUUACCACCGUAUGAAAAAGUUAUAUGAAAAAGUUACAUCUGCCCACACAGAAAAUUGCAUCCCAACAAACCUGUCAUUGGUACCCGAACUACAUUUCAGUCACUCAGUAAAUUGAUAACUCAACAGAUCUGGGGAAAUUACCAGUGCGUCUUUAGACCGUUUUCGUCAGCCGAGAGACACAGUUCUGACUCUUGAUUACUGGUUGCUGUACGUAUCUAUCCACAUCAAGGCUGUUGAGAGAGACUCGUGAAGAUUCAAGACAGCUCCUAGAGGAUUUGCAGUUUAAAAGUGACAUAAUUGUGAAAUAAGUGUGCAGAUGAGUGAUUAAACUGUGUUUUAUUGAAGUUGUUAUGCGAUUUUAUAGGAAUAAUAAAUGUUUAAAUACAGUGAGUGAAUA